AGCCGACCCACAGAUAAAAGGUCAAGAAAAACCAGGAAGAGAGAGAGAGGGCGGGAAGGAUCUAUGGACCAUAGAGAAAGAGACAAUCUACAUUGGCUGGAUUUACCGUGUACGAGCUGGACUGUUUUGGACUUACCUGUUGGCGUUUAGACCUGGACCUACCGAGAACCAGAUUUGUGUACCGAACCCUGCUAUCCUUGACCUUACCUGCGGCCUGGGUGGACCAGGACAGCGAAACAAACACACAGAUCCACAGACGAUGCAAUCGCCUUAGCACUGCACACUGCCCUAUCCCAUCUGGACAAGAGAAAUACCUACUUAAGAAUGCUAUCCAUUGACUAUAGCUCAGCCUUCAACACCAUAGUACCCUCCAAACUCAUCAUUAUGCUUGGUGCCCUGGGUCCGCCCUGUGCAACUGGGUCCUGGACUUCCUGACGGGCUGCACCCAGGUGGUGAAGAUAGGAAACAACACCUCUACUUUGCUGAUCCUCAACACAUGGGCCCCACAAGGGUGUGUGCUCAGCCCCCUCCUGUACUCCCUAUUCACCCAUGACUGCAUGGCCACGCACGCCUCCAACUCAAUCAUCAAGUUUGCAGAUGACACAAUAGUAAUAGGCCUGAUUAUGAACUGCCUACAGGGAGGAGGUAAGGGCCCUGGCGGAGUGGUGCCAGGGAAAUAACCUCUCCCUCAAUGUCAACAAAAUGAAGGUGCUGAUCGUGGACUUCAGGGAACAGCAGAGGGAGCACGCCCCUAUCCACAUCGACGGGACCGCGGUGGAGAAUGUGGAAAGCUUCAAGUUCCUCGUGUACGCGGCGCUGAAAAUCUGAAAUGGUCCACCCACACAGACAGUGUGGUGAAGAAGGCGCAACAGCACCUCUUCAAUCUCAAGAGGCUGAAGAAAUUUGGCUUGGCCACUAAGACCCUUACAAACUUUUACAGAUGCACAAUUGAGAGCAUCCUGUCGGCUGUAUCACCACCUGGGACAGCAACUGCGCCGCCUGCAACCGCAGGACUCUCCAGAGGGUGGUGCGGUCUACCCAACGCAUCACCGGGGAGGCACACUUCCUGUCCUACAGGACACCUACAGCACCCAAUGGCACAUGAAGGCCAAAAAGAUCAUCAAAGACAUCAACUACCCAAGCCACGGCCUGUGCACCCCGGCUAUCAUCCAGAAGGUGAGGUCAAUACAGGUGCAUCAAAGCUGGGACCAAGAGACUGAAAAACAGCUUCUAUCUCAAGGCCAUCAGACUGUUAAAUAGCCAUCACUAAAGAAAGAGAAAGUUUUUGUAAUGUUACCCGUAAUGUUCCUCAGAUGUUUGUGUGUCCAGUAUUCCGUUAGCUAGGGGAACAUUAUACAUGUAUGUUAGCAAAAACCUUCUGAAAACCUACAGUGCAUUCAGAAAGUGUUUACACCCCUUGACCUAUACAACAUUUUGUUGUAUUACAGCCUGAAUUUAAAAUUGUUUAAAUUGAGAUUUUAUAGGUCACUGGCCUAUGCACAUACCC
RNAcentral lists this long non-coding RNA (1507 nucleotides) under Salmo salar (Atlantic salmon). Its description in RNAcentral is "lncRNA (ENSSSAG00000103246.1)". Lineage: Eukaryota; Metazoa; Chordata; Actinopteri; Salmoniformes; Salmonidae. The record is from RNAcentral.